This 3288-nucleotide long non-coding RNA is filed under the name Daucus carota (carrot). RNAcentral describes it as "long non-coding RNA (DCAR_LNC002890)". Lineage: Eukaryota; Viridiplantae; Streptophyta; Magnoliopsida; Apiales; Apiaceae. The record is from RNAcentral.
UCAAAUCCGGGGGUCUGGAUUUGGUGCCACUAAAAGAAAAACAAUUUAAAACCUGUAUUUUCGAAAGAAAUUAAAACAAGUAUUUCAAAACCUGAAUAUAUAAAAAAAAUGAUUUAAAUUAAAACUCAAUUUCACCCCCUUUAAAAUAGGAUCGCAAACAGGUUAUAGUAUUGAAAUCAGAAAACAAAACUACAGAUCUUAUUACAGCUUGAACUAUAUUAUCAACUAGACCUCGAUAUGAAGGAUAACCAAUAUCCAAUUUAACAAAUCUAUUCUUUUACAACUAAACCAAAUUUAGUCAACUCCAAUUACCACUAGUCCCACAGACACGAUCUUGAUUACUCUUCCUGACCAUCAGGUUGAAACUUAAUCACUUGCAAUCCUCGCCUAGCCUUACUCUUACGCUUAGCAUAAAUAGGCGAACCAUCUUUAACAUUAUCUGAAAGGGGUUAGAAGAAAUAGCAAGAAUGAGCAAAAGAAUGCUCAGCAAGUAUAUUAGUUAAAAAGAAACAGGAGUUAAUGCAGAGAAAGUAAUUGAACUGGAAGUAUACAAAACAACAUGCUUUUAACUUGAAACCAAAACAAUUCAAAAGUAUAUAUGAAUUUCCAAAGCAUUCAGAUAUAUUGGACGUUAAUAGUCACCGUAGAUGAUCAGUCUACAGUAACCCGGACAAUGGUUACGCAUUGCCCUAAAAUAAAAUGUUCCGGAACUGAAGACUAGCUAGGUCUCCAUAUAACGCUGGGCCAAGGGCCUCUUAUGCAAACAAAACAAUAGGCUGGGCAUAGACCUCUUACGCAAAGCUGGGCAUCGGCCUCUUACGCAAACAAAACAAUAGUCCAAUGAUUAUAUCUGAAUUUUUCUUUUACUUCCCAGUUCCAAAAAUUUCAAUGUAAUUUAAGUGUCUCAUUUGGAAGGAUAAUAAGUACUAUUCCCAUAAAGCAUUCAUUAAUCGUUCCAAUUCAAGUUUUAGGAAAGACUUUUUCCCAAGGUACAAGUGUUAAAUAAAAGCAGUAUUCAUAGAGAAAGAUGGGUUAGAUAUACUUGCUUUUAAAUAAAGAAGUAGCAUAGGAAUACUUGCAGUAAUUUCAAGUUAAGAAUAGAAUUACUCGCAAGAAAGCUUGAGAGAAAUUAAUCUAUCAAUAUCAUGAUUGAACAAAAUAUCUCACUUGAACAAUAAGUGAAGAGUUAUAGUACUUGCCUCAGUUCUGCUGAUUUUCACACCAAUUAAUUUCUACCGGACUAUCUCACAGCACAGCUUCGUCUUAAGGAACUAUUCCUGAUUAAAUUCACAAAGCUAUUCAACUACUUCUGAAUGUCCUUGAUAUACAAGUCUCGGUUGAUUCUCCACGAGUAACACGGUACUUCGGUUGUCGAUGCCGACGGAGUUAACUAAUAUCGAAUAACGUAUAAAAUCCGUAAUUAGCUACCCUUCGUAAAUCCAUAUACAUACCACAUAGUCAGAUAAACACAUAGCACAUAGUUGAACAAUUAACUUUUAUAGCUAUUAAAAGUCAAUAUUGAUAAGUUAACAAAUAACAUGUUUCAAUCAACCAUGUUACCUUAUUCUUAACUAUUUAAUAUCCUUCAACAAGUAAAACAUAUAUAAUUUCUAUCGAAAAUUCGGCAGCAUCUCCUCUAUGUAUCGGACUAUCCACCUGUUUCCCUAUACUAUGCAACAAGUAAUCAACUCAAUCCACUCAAUAAACCAAUCAUAUAACAUCAACCAUUACUCAUUGACUGGAUUUAAAUAAUUAGCAAACUCUGAAAUCAUAUGCUAAAUCAUAAGCCAAUAAUUCAACUUUUUAACCAAAUAUUUCUCAAAGAUCUUUAUAAAUAUAUUCCAGAGGUCGCGGAAAUUUCAACCCAACUCAUAGAUUUAAACUUGCAAAAACAAUUCUCUUUGUAACAGCAAAACAGAAUUUUCACAAGUAUGUGCUACCGACAUUCAAACAUUUUUAAUAAAUCAAAAAUACAAGUUUUUCACUUGAAAUUUUUAUGAGACCUCCCUAAACUCGCUGACUAACUACAAAAUAAGUUUUGACUUGAAAAUCAAAGUUUAAGUAAUUAAACUAUAAUUUAGAAAGUCGAAAAGUGAAGCAGUUUUGUACUCUGCGCAUACCAUAAUAAAACUAUCAUAUCUCCUAGCUCGCUAAUCGAAUCGAUUCGAUUCUUUCGCGCACAUAAAGUAGACUCUGAGAAGAUCAUGAAUCUCUGAAAGUCUGAUUUUAAAAAUGAUCUUAAGCUGUUCGAAAAAGAGCUCCAAACAGAGGCAGCGCUGCUGCGAAAACUUGACUUCAAAUGACUCGAUAAUUUAUAAACAAUUUCAUAUUAAUCACAACUCUUACUAAUUUAUUCAAUUCAAUAUAACACACAUAACAUAACAAUUUCUUCCCAACAAUUACAAAUUUAGAGUGUAAUUAAACCCCUAAUUCAUAUGAACCCAUGUACACAAUUAAUUCCCAAUCGAGUAAACAUUAUCCCAAUUAGUCUAUAAUCACGUAGUUAAUUAAAUCAAACUCUAAAUCAAAGCAAUUCUCAACUAAUGCAAAGCAAGUGUAUAUACACAUAUAUAUACAUUUAUACAACUGAUUGGUCUCAAAAUUGGCUAACUUAAUCAAUUCAAAUCGUAGCGAACACAGCACAACAUAUAUACACAUACAUAUAUAAACUGAUUUUAUAAAGAAGAAUGGAUUUAUACCCACUGAUUUAUAACUGGUGCAGGGCUAUGGUGGUCGCCGGAAGAGGAAGAAAUAGGCGGUGUUGGUUCUGGCCGGAAAAGGAAGCGGCGGCAGAGAAUCCCGAUGGAAUAUGGCGACCGUACGUACAGAGGCGAGAGAUGGAGGGAAGUGUGCAGGGAGAUGGUAGCGAGAGACCGAAGGAAUGGCGUGAGAUUGGGGAGAUAUUUGCGAGAGAAAGUAGUCCCCCGAAUACUGUGAUUUAACGAGAGAGAUGAGGUUUCACAGGGAAUAAAAGGAAAAGGGUUUACAGGGGUGUAUACGUGGCUGAAGGAAGAGAAGUGUGGAGACACGCGGAUAAAUUUUAAGCUGCCAACUAUUUUAUUAAACUGAGUAAGCAAUUAACUUCUACCCGCUUUCAACUAAUUUACGUAGAUUACUUGCAAUAAAAUUUCUCCCGACAACUACCAAAAUAUUUUUAUAAACCCCGGAAUAUUAUAAAACUAAUCAAAUAAAAGUUUCCGGAUUUAUAGAGCAUUUUCGGAAUUUAUACAAAAUUUAGAAGUUAGCUGCGUUCAGAAACUAAUUAAAAAUCAUGUCCUUAUAGAAAUA